AAUAGAUACCCCGGUAGUCCACGCCGUAAACGAUGAAUGCUAGGUGUUAGGGGUUUCGAUACCCUUGGUGCCGAAGUUAACACAUUAAGCAUUCCGCCUGGGGAGUACGGCCGCAAGGCUGAAACUCAAAGGAAUUGACGGGGACCCGCACAAGCAGUGGAGUAUGUGGUUUAAUUCGAAGCAACGCGAAGAACCUUACCAGGUCUUGACAUCCCCCUGACCGGCGCAGAGAUGUGCCUUUCCUUCGGGACAGGGGAGACAGGUGGUGCAUGGUUGUCGUCAGCUCGUGUCGUGAGAUGUUGGGUUAAGUCCCGCAACGAGCGCAACCCUUGACUUUAGUUGCCAGCAAGUAAGGUUGGGCACUCUAGAGUGACUGCCGGUGACAAACCGGAGGAAGGUGGGGAUGACGUCAAAUCAUCAUGCCCCUUAUGACCUGGGCUACACACGUACUACAAUGGCCGGUACAACGGGCUGCGAAGCCGCGAGGUUGAGCCAAUCCCAUAAAGCCGGUCUAAGUUCGGAUUGGAGGCUGCAACUCGCCUCCA
This 545-nucleotide ribosomal RNA is filed under the name uncultured bacterium. Its description in RNAcentral is "bacterial SSU rRNA". It matches the Rfam family "Bacterial small subunit ribosomal RNA", at positions 777 to 1320 of the family's 1533-position model. The record is from RNAcentral.